Molecule: ribosomal RNA, 937 nt
Filed under: Salmonella enterica
Lineage: Bacteria; Pseudomonadati; Pseudomonadota; Gammaproteobacteria; Enterobacterales; Enterobacteriaceae
Also listed under: 1 other name
Description: bacterial SSU rRNA
Rfam family: Bacterial small subunit ribosomal RNA
Source: RNAcentral
GGCUCAACCUGGGAACUGCAUUCGAAACUGGCAGGCUUGAGUCUUGUAGAGGGGGGUAGAAUUCCAGGUGUAGCGGUGAAAUGCGUAGAGAUCUGGAGGAAUACCGGUGGCGAAGGCGGCCCCCUGGACAAAGACUGACGCUCAGGUGCGAAAGCGUGGGGAGCAAACAGGAUUAGAUACCCUGGUAGUCCACGCCGUAAACGAUGUCUACUUGGAGGUUGUGCCCUUGAGGCGUGGCUUCCGGAGCUAACGCGUUAAGUAGACCGCCUGGGGAGUACGGCCGCAAGGUUAAAACUCAAAUGAAUUGACGGGGGCCCGCACAAGCGGUGGAGCAUGUGGUUUAAUUCGAUGCAACGCGAAGAACCUUACCUGGUCUUGACAUCCACAGAACUUUCCAGAGAUGGAUUGGUGCCUUCGGGAACUGUGAGACAGGUGCUGCAUGGCUGUCGUCAGCUCGUGUUGUGAAAUGUUGGGUUAAGUCCCGCAACGAGCGCAACCCUUAUCCUUUGUUGCCAGCGGUCCGGCCGGGAACUCAAAGGAGACUGCCAGUGAUAAACUGGAGGAAGGUGGGGAUGACGUCAAGUCAUCAUGGCCCUUACGACCAGGGCUACACACGUGCUACAAUGGCGCAUACAAAGAGAAGCGACCUCGCGAGAGCAAGCGGACCUCAUAAAGUGCGUCGUAGUCCGGAUUGGAGUCUGCAACUCGACUCCAUGAAGUCGGAAUCGCUAGUAAUCGUGGAUCAGAAUGCCACGGUGAAUACGUUCCCGGGCCUUGUACACACCGCCCGUCACACCAUGGGAGUGGGUUGCAAAAGAAGUAGGUAGCUUAACCUUCGGGAGGGCGCUUACCACUUUGUGAUUCAUGACUGGGGUGAAGUCGUAACAAGGUAACCGUAGGGGAACCUGCGGUUGGAUCACCUCCUUACCUGAAAGAA